GGCCAGGAUGAAGGUGCCGUAACAGGUACUGGAGGUCCGAACCGACUAGUGUUGCAAAACUAGCGGAUGAGCUGUGGAUAGGGGUGAAAGGCUAAACAAACUUGGAAAUAGCUGGUUCUCUCCGAAAACUAUUUAGGUAGUGCCUCAAGUAUUACCGUCGGGGGUAGAGCACUGUUUUGGCUAGGGGGUCAUGGCGACUUACCAAACCAAGGCAAACUCCGAAUACCGACGAGUACAGCUUGGGAGACAGAGCACCGGGUGCUAACGUCCGGACUCAAGAGGGAAACAACCCAGACCGCCAGCUAAGGUCCCUAAAAUUGGCUAAGUGGGAAACGAAGUGGGAAGGCUAAAACAGUCAGGAUGUUGGCUUAGAAGCAGCCAUCAUUUAAAGAAAGCGUAAUAGCUCACUGAUCGAGUCGUCCUGCGCGGAAGAUGUAACGGGG
This 443-nucleotide ribosomal RNA is filed under the name uncultured bacterium. RNAcentral's name for it is "bacterial LSU rRNA". It matches the Rfam family "Bacterial large subunit ribosomal RNA", at positions 738 to 1180 of the family's 2925-position model. The record is from RNAcentral.